RNAcentral lists this ribosomal RNA (429 nucleotides) under Actinomycetes bacterium. Its description in RNAcentral is "Actinobacteria bacterium partial 16S ribosomal RNA". It matches the Rfam family "Bacterial small subunit ribosomal RNA", at positions 355 to 776 of the family's 1533-position model. Lineage: Bacteria; Bacillati; Actinomycetota; Actinomycetes. The record is from RNAcentral.
UAGGGAAUCUUCCGCAAUGGGCGAAAGCCUGACGGAGCAACGCCGCGUGAGUGAUGAAGGUCUUCGGAUCGUAAAACUCUGUUAUUAGGGAAGAACAAAUGUGUAAGUAACUAUGCACGUCUUGACGGUACCUAAUCAGAAAGCCACGGCUAACUACGUGCCAGCAGCCGCGGUAAUACGUAGGUGGCAAGCGUUAUCCGGAGUUAUUGGGCGUAAAGCGCGCGUAGGCGGUUUUUUAAGUCUGAUGUGAAAGCCCACGGCUCAACCGUUGAGGGUCAUUGGGAGCUGGAAAACUUGAGUGCAGAAGGGGAAAGUGGAAUUCCAUGUGUAGCGGUGAAAUGCGCAGAAGUAUGGGGGAACACCAGUGGCGGAGGCGACUUUCUGGUCUGUAACUGACGCUGCUGUGCGAAGGCGUGGGGAUCAAACAGG